This is a long non-coding RNA of Telopea speciosissima, 117 nucleotides long. RefSeq lists it as uncharacterized. Lineage: Eukaryota; Viridiplantae; Streptophyta; Magnoliopsida; Proteales; Proteaceae. The transcript has 3 exons. The record is from RefSeq and is a predicted model, not a curated record.
UAAUUCAGACAAAAGAGGCUCUAGAUAAGAUCAAAGAAACCACUACUAAUACUGCUAUUACUUUUAUUACAAAGAGCAAUGCAAAGCAAUUCCCUACUUAUUCAUCUGAAGAAAGAG